AUUGAACGCUGGCGGCAGGCCUAACACAUGCAAGUCGAACGGUAACAGGAAGAAGCUUGCUUCUUUGCUGACGAGUGGCGGACGGGUGAGUAAUGUCUGGGAAACUGCCUGAUGGAGGGGGAUAACUACUGGAAACGGUAGCUAAUACCGCAUAACGUCGCAAGACCAAAGAGGGGGACCUUCGGGCCUCUUGCCAUCGGAUGUGCCCAGAUGGGAUUAGCUAGUAGGUGGGGUAACGGCUCACCUAGGCGACGAUCCCUAGCUGGUCUGAGAGGAUGACACGCCACACUGGAACUGAGACACGGUCCAGACUCCUACGGGAGGCAGCAGUGGGGAAUAUUGCACAAUGGGCGCAAGCCUGAUGCAGCCAUGCCGCGUGUAUGAAGAAGGCCUUCGGGUUGUAAAGUACUUUCAGCGGGGAGGAAGGGAGUAAAGUUAAUACCUUGGCUCAUUGACGUUACCCGCAGAAGAAGCACCGGCUAACUCCGUG
RNAcentral lists this ribosomal RNA (490 nucleotides) under uncultured bacterium. Its description in RNAcentral is "partial 16S ribosomal RNA". It matches the Rfam family "Bacterial small subunit ribosomal RNA", at positions 30 to 507 of the family's 1533-position model. The record is from RNAcentral.